UUGUGUAAUUACCGGAAACAUCGUUCUGGUAGUUUUAUGGUAAUUUACCAGGAUUACAGUGUGAAAGGGUUUACAUGUUCAAGGAAUUUAGUUAUCAGGUGAGAUCGCGAGAGUUUGCUCAUACGAUUAAAUGCCAUCACUGAGGAAACAUCGCAUCAUCUCUUGUGAUUGAUUCUCCCUGUUUAUCCUCAGGUAUCGGAUCACUAAAGUGAUUAUAAAGUAUUUCGAAAACGAGUAUGAAUGUUAAGAACAUGUGUAUGUAAUAGUAGAAAAAGACUAAAAGUUUUACUAAGUGUGUUAGUGCGUGUUUAUGCGCGGAGCACAUGGUCGUUGGGCUGCGUAACGUUAAUGUGAUUUUCGCCAUGUGGAAAAACUAAUUGGCCUAACGUUAUAUAUAUAUAUGUGUGUAUCAGGGGCGUUUCCUCCGAGGAGGCAAGAGAGGCAGUGCCUCCUCAAAAAAAAUAGGAUGAGAAAUUAAUCCAUAUUACAUAUAAAACAACACAAAUAUUACAAAUUAUGACAUUAAAAAGAGCGCAAGUCACUCGUAUUUCUAAAGGAACACUGCCCAACAGCGACACCUGCAGGUAAAGUUACAGCAGGAGUCAUGCCUCCCUUUCUGCUCAUAGAAAACCAUCAGACCCCCUAUAUGUUUUAUUCACUGAUGGUGAAAAGAAUGAGAAAUGUUUAGAGAAUUUUUUGCGUAUAGUUAUAAGUUAAUAUAUUCGCAACAAAAAGUAAAAAAAAAAAUAUAUAUAUAUAUAUUAUUACUGUGACCAACCUGUAUGUGAAUAUGAGUUAUGUGUGUUUAACAUGAAAAUCAUAUGAGUAAACGCGAUCACUGAGGAAACAUCGCAUCAUCUCUUGUGAUUAAUUCUCCCUGUUUAUUCUCAGGUGUGACAUAUAAAUAUAAACAAUUUUAGGAAGAAUAAAAAUAGACACAUUAACUACAUUAGUGCAAGAUGUGCAAAUGUAACAGACGUAGGCCAGUAAAAGUUGUGCAUGUAAACCUCACUUCCCUGAUCUCAAGAGGCGCUUUAGCGACUGACACUACAGACUGCGGUCUUUAGCCUCCUUGUUAGAGCGCCCGACUCCCUGGGUUUGAGUCCCGCUUAGAGCGGUUCAAACAGGAGGGGUUACACUGGUGCUGUGACUCGUCGCAUCGCGAUAAUCCGCAGAUUGCUGCGUGGUUGCAUGAAAGUCUUAAUGAAAGCCGUAGCUGCUGACCAAAGCUGAACAACGGAAGACAGACGAACCACAGUGAGGAGAAGAUGCUAAGUCCCUUUGUAUAUAAAGUCUUUGGAAGAUGUGGGUGUCUCUGUCAGGUAUGAAUAUUUUAUAAAAAAUUCUUUACCAUAAAUAGUGCCUAGAAAAAGUGAUUUAGGUUUCCAGAGUUUUUUUAUUUUUUAUUUCAAGUUAUUGAUUUAUUUUGGUCUUUCGCUAUGCUGAUCUGUUACAUUUAGGCUACGUUUUCUUUCUCUAGUAUUUUUCCAUUCUAGUCAGUUAUGCUAACUCAUGUUUCACAAGCAUGUGGAAAUGUAAGGACUGUGAAAUAACAGUGUCAACUAGAUUGCAGUUGUUGAAGCACUAUAGAUUAGCGCAUGGCCAUUUUGGCCGCAGUUAUCGUUUCACAUGCACUUAUUAUAACAUGGAAUGCACUACAGACAGUCAUCUUAAUCGUUCACAUGCUAAGGAGACUGCUGCUUACAAUGUUCUUGUUUAGUUAUUCAUGCCCAUGUGGAGGUAGCCUAAAUGCUUUUUUUCUUCAGAUGUCACUGAAUAACUCUCAAUGUAAUUGUAAAAAUGAAAGAUAUCCUUAUUGUUGUGUUAUGUCUCUUAAAUCUCUAGAUUGCUGCUGAGUUUACUCGAAAAUCCACCAUCCCACUGAUUCAGACUGAAAAUGGAUGGUUACAGAAGCAAACUGGCCAGCAUCUACUAAAAAAAAAGAAGUUGCAGAACGAAACAUUUAUAAACUUUGACAAGAGCAAUAACAUCUCAACUUGGAGAGCUUGCAUUCUCAGAUCACUUUCUGUGAAGACUGUGAAAACCUCAUGAAGGAGUAUGCAGGAUGCAAACUCAUCAGGGGUGAAAAAGAUGACAAAAUCACAAGACCCCAACAUAUUUGACAGGCACUUGAAGUGAUGAAUUCAACCGCUGAACCAAAGCAAUCACACAAGAGACUCAACAAGAUCUGCAAUAAAAACAUAUUUUGUGUUAAAAACCACAAGCCGAAACUAUGAGACUUAUAUCACAGGGUUACAUCACAAAAUUAUAGUUCAAUUUUUUCUACUUACUAUCAUAGGCCCCGUCCACACGGAGACGAGUUCAGCUGUAUACGCAAAAAUUUUAUAUCGUAUAGCUGUUUCGUCCAGACAGAUCCAGCGUUCUCAGAAUUUCUGAAACCGGGUCCCAGAGUGGAUAAAUCUGAAAAUGACGCCCUUUUGCGUUUUCAUGUGUACAGCCAAUCCGUAUAUUUUGUGAAACGAUGAUGUAAUCACCCCACGUGUUGACCCUAGUCAAACACCGCUAACAGCACAAAACAGCAACAACAACAACAACAGCGGACUACAUGCUUGUGUUCGUGCUGCAGAAGCUACCGAGCCUAGUAGCUUAACUAAAAUAAAGAUUUAUUUCUAAGCUUUAAUAAAGUUUGUAUACAGCGCGCAAGUUUUAUGCGCAUGCUCCAAGUCUUAUUCUUUGUUUUUAGUGUAUCAC
This is a long non-coding RNA of Ctenopharyngodon idella (grass carp), 2712 nucleotides long. RefSeq lists it as uncharacterized. The record is from RefSeq and is a predicted model, not a curated record. The transcript is spliced from 4 exons. NCBI's taxonomy places the organism in Eukaryota, Metazoa, Chordata, Actinopteri, Cypriniformes, Xenocyprididae.